UACGGAGGGGACUAGCGUUGUUCGGAAUUACUGGGCGUAAAGCGCACGUAGGCGGAUUUGUAAGUCAGGGGUGAAAUCCUGGAGCUCAACUCCAGAACUGCCUUUGAUACUGAGGAUCUUGAGUUCGGGAGAGGUGAGUGGAACUGCGAGUGUAGAGGUGAAAUUCGUAGAUAUUCGCAAGAACACCAGUGGCGAAGGCGGCUCACUGGCCCGAUACUGACGCUGAGGCACGAAAGCGUGGGGAGCAAACAGGG
RNAcentral lists this ribosomal RNA (254 nucleotides) under uncultured bacterium. Its description in RNAcentral is "partial 16S ribosomal RNA". It matches the Rfam family "Bacterial small subunit ribosomal RNA", at positions 524 to 777 of the family's 1533-position model. The record is from RNAcentral.